Molecule: ribosomal RNA, 484 nt
Filed under: uncultured bacterium
Lineage: Bacteria
Description: partial 16S ribosomal RNA
Rfam family: Bacterial small subunit ribosomal RNA
Source: RNAcentral
GACGAACGCUGGCGGCGUGCUUAACACAUGCAAGUCGAACGAUGAACCCGGAGCUUGCUCCGGUGGAUUAGUGGCGAACGGGUGAGUAACACGUGGGUGAUCUGCCCUGCACUUCGGGAUAAGCCUGGGAAACUGGGUCUAAUACCGGAUAGGACCACUGCCUGCAUGGGUGGUGGUGGAAAGCUUUUGCGGUGUGGGAUGGGCCCGCGGCCUAUCAGCUUGUUGGUGGGGUGAUGGCCUACCAAGGCGACGACGGGUAGCCGGCCUGAGAGGGUGACCGGCCACACUGGGACUGAGAUACGGCCCAGACUCCUACGGGAGGCAGCAGUGGGGAAUAUUGCACAAUGGGCGCAAGCCUGAUGCAGCGACGCCGCGUGAGGGAUGACGGCCUUCGGGUUGUAAACCUCUUUCAGCACCGACGAAGCGCAAGUGACGGUAGGUGCAGAAGAAGGACCGGCCAACUACGUGCCAGCAGCCGCCGUAA